Molecule: transfer RNA, 66 nt
Filed under: Acinetobacter baumannii
Lineage: Bacteria; Pseudomonadati; Pseudomonadota; Gammaproteobacteria; Moraxellales; Moraxellaceae
Description: tRNA-Asn
Rfam family: tRNA
About the family: Transfer RNA (tRNA) molecules are approximately 80 nucleotides in length. Their secondary structure includes four short double-helical elements and three loops (D, anti-codon, and T loops).
Source: RNAcentral
CCCAUAGCUCAGUCGGUAGAGCGACGGACUGUUAAUCCGCAGGUCCCUGGUUCGAGCCCAGGUGGG